This 285-nucleotide ribosomal RNA is filed under the name Triticum aestivum (bread wheat). RNAcentral's name for it is "partial small subunit ribosomal RNA". The record is from RNAcentral. Lineage: Eukaryota; Viridiplantae; Streptophyta; Magnoliopsida; Poales; Poaceae.
AUGAAGGUCAAGGAGUACUACCUUGUUGGCAGAAAAGUAGUUUUGAACUCUGGCAAUCUUGCCAGGAUGUGGAUCGAUCCUUGUGGGGAGGAGCGACCGAUGUGUGCUCAGUUUCCUAUUCUUUUCAAUGUGUGUCAUAAUCAAGAGAUUACCGUGGCUAAAUUUAGGGACGGUGAGGAUGAAAACUUUUUUAGAAGACGAUUACACCCUCCUCUUCUUGAUCAAUGGAGAGAGGUGCAAGCUAGGGUGAGGGCUUGGCCUCUCUCUAAUGAUCCUGAUCAAGUC